CUCCUAAACUUUGACCACAAAUACAGCCCUGGGCCUGAGCAGUGUCGGCGCGGACGAACCACUAUCACCCCCUUGGACACUAACAAAUAAGUGACUCUCUUGAGAGCGGAGAGAAAAAGCAAACCCACGGACUCGAGGAACUAGAAGCGAAGUUACCAGUGAGCGACUGGGAAGCAAGGAAGCUGGCAGCCCUCAACCGCACAGGGCCUGACAAAGCCACUCAGAAGUCGGUGGAACCCCACUGGCGACCCUCCACGUGACCCUGGCUGGUCCCAGAGCCUCUUAGAACGCCAUGUAACAGGGUAGAGGGAGAGAAUGAAGGAGAAAGCAGAAGGCGACCUUGGAAGAUCUGGGUCCUGGGAGGCUGUGGCUGGACCCUCCUCCCAGCCCCGCUGUCUGGGCCAAAUUCCAGGCGGAGCCGCUGUCCUUGGGCUUGACCAAGCUGCCCUCGCAAUUAGAGCAACAGCAGCAAGGAACCGCCCUGGGCCACGGCGCCAGCGUGUGACCGGGCAAAGGUUCGCGUCCCCGGAGCCAGGACUAAUCCGAGCUACGACCGACCGAGGCCAAGGGGGACAACAGGAGUCCCUGCCCCGUAUGGUCAUUAGAAGGAUCACACGAGUGACUAGAGCUGAGGACAGAACCUGGAACGUGGCCAGGGCCUGAAAAGAGAAAAGAACACCGUUCUCCGCAUCUACCUGCAUGACCCCUGCCACUCUGGCCUCUGUGUUCUUGAACCCUCGCUGGCGCUCUCUCAAUCUCUCUCUUUUUUUUUUUUUUUUUGCACUCUCUUUUAAAACACUUUUUUGGGGACGCCUGAGUGGCCCAGCGGUUGGGCAUCUGCCUUAGGCUCAGGGUGUGCUCCUGGAGUC
Long non-coding RNA from Canis lupus familiaris (dog), 869 nucleotides. RefSeq lists it as uncharacterized. NCBI's taxonomy places the organism in Eukaryota, Metazoa, Chordata, Mammalia, Carnivora, Canidae. The transcript is spliced from 4 exons. The record is from RefSeq and is a predicted model, not a curated record.